RNAcentral lists this long non-coding RNA (474 nucleotides) under Panax ginseng (ginseng). RNAcentral describes it as "long non-coding RNA (PGIN_LNC005035)". Lineage: Eukaryota; Viridiplantae; Streptophyta; Magnoliopsida; Apiales; Araliaceae. The record is from RNAcentral.
UUACGCUUCGCCAUGUAGUGAUCACAAGUGUUGAAUAAUAUCUUCUUUAAGUUGAGAAUUAACUUGUGUAUCCCUUAUGCGAUGAUUGACUUUGUGGGGUACGCUCAUGAGACACUUCUACAAUUGUAAUCUCGUCAUGUGUAUCAUAGGUUGUUGGUUUUUGAUUUUCAUCUUGUUCAUCCUCAAUGAUCAUAUUAGGUAGUAUUAUUCGUGCAGUCAUAAUUUCUUUUAGUGUUGUUUGAUCCUAAAAUCGUGCAGGACCACGAACGAUCGCAAAACGUGUUUAGAGUACCCAAAAUGAUCGUUCAAUAUCCUUCCUAACAUAUUUUAAAUUGACGAGACAUAUUUAAAAUUGACGAGACAUAUUUAAAAUAAUGUGUUUGACUGGAAGUUUGAAGUUGAGAUGAGUGAAUAUGAGAGACCGGAUGUGCCUUAUAUUUAUAGAGGUUGUUUGUUCUUUAAAAUAUAGUUGUU